CCAAGGAGUCUAACAUGUGCGCGAGUCAUUGGGUCUUGCUCAGGCCCAAAGGCGCAAUGAAAGUGAAGGCCGGCUCGGUCGGCUGCGUUGGGAUCCCGCCCUCUUUGGGGGUGGGAGCACCAACGGCCCGUCCCUGUCGCUGCGUCGACGGGGCGGAGUGAGAGCGUACACGUUGGGACCCGAAAGAUGGUGAACUAUGCCUGGGCAGGACGAAGCCAGAGGAAACUCUGGUGGAGGUCCGCAGCGAUUCUGACGUGCAAAUCGAUCGUCAGACCUGGGUAUAGGGGCGAAAGACUAAUCGAACCAUCUA
Molecule: ribosomal RNA, 310 nt
Filed under: Stylocellus sp. Peninsula 24
Lineage: Eukaryota; Metazoa; Arthropoda; Arachnida; Opiliones; Stylocellidae
Description: eukaryotic LSU rRNA
Rfam family: Eukaryotic large subunit ribosomal RNA
Source: RNAcentral